CGGCCCCGGCCCCGGCCCCGGCCCCGGCCCCGGCCCCGGCCCCGGCCCCGGCCCCGGCCCCUGCCCCGGCCCCGGCCGGCGCCCGCGCCUGCGCCCGGCGCCGACGAAAGUCGUCGUGGUCGGAGCGGUGACCCCUGAUCUCACCCGCGUAGCGCCCACGAGUGCCCCCAGCUGCCCACGCGGGGGCCCACUACCGCCCAUGGCUGGGCUCACUGCUGCCCACGCGUGGACCCACGACCGCCCAUGGCUAGGCCCACUCCCGCCCACGCGUGGCCCCACUACCGCCCACGGCUGGGCCCACUGCUGGCCACUCCCGCCCACGGCUGGGCCCACCACUGCUGACCUCGCGUGGCCCCACUCCCGCCCACGGCUGCCCACGCGUGGGCCCACUACCGCCCACAGCUGGGCCCACGCCGCGAGUACAGUGGUUUUGUCUGUACGCAUUGUCAGUAAAUUUUUGUUAUGUUUGUUAUAAUUGGUAAACUUGAGUAAAGCCCCGCUUGCAUGUAAUUGUGUGUACUCAGUAAAAAAACGUAUAAAAAUGACUAAUGACAAGCCUUAUUGAGCUUACCGUGGGCCUUAGUCAAUUUGUGUAAUAAUGUCCUAUAAUAUUUAUUCUAUAAUAUUUAUUUAUUUAUUUAAUGACUUAUAAUCGACAUCCAUUUAUGAUUAAUGUUCAUGAAAAUUUAAUUAUAAUUUAUGUGUUGUCAGUUUUAACCAAACUUACUUACAUGUAUCGAUCGACCUAGUCCUGCAAUACUUACAAACAUAAUAAGUUAAAGUAGGGACAAACUUAGCUAAGUACCCCGCCUAUGAAGCCGAUGGUCCCGGGUUCAAAUCCUGGUAAGGGCAUUUAUUCGUGUGAUGAGCACGGAUAUUUGUUCCUGAGUCAUGGGUGUUUUCUAUGUAUUUAAGUAUUUAUAAAUAUGUAUAUAUUAUAUAUAUCGUUGUCUAAGUACCCUCAACACAAGCCUUAUUGAGCUUACUGUGGGACUUAGUCAAUUUGUGUAAUAAUGUCCUAUAAUAUUUAUUUUAAUGUCUACCUUAUCACUCUGAACAUUACAUUCAAGCGGGGCUUUAGGCAAGUUCUCUACAUGUAUAUCCGGUGCCUACUAAUUAUUGUUUCCCCAUUUUAUUUAAACUAAAUACAUACAUUCAAACGCGUAUUCCAAAGCAGUUAUAGAAAAAAUCUGUUUAGCAUAAUUUUAUUGGUAACAUUAAUUAAUGUAUAUAAUGUAAGAUGGGACGCAUUUAAAAUAAUAUAUAAUAAUAUAUAUAAUGUAUGUAAAUGGUCAGUAAAUAUUCGGGCACUGGCAAGUGGGCGAACCAAAAUAUAUAUAAUUAUUCAUAUUAUAUAAACACUAUAUAUUAUUGUAAAUACUUAGUGUAAGCGUGUAUAAUAAAUAAUAAAUAUAUACAUUAUAAAUAUAUAAGGAGCCGGCGGCGCGCGGAGUUGUUUCUUAUUCUGUGAUAUUUAAUUAGCUUUUAAAUGUUUUAUUAAUUAUUAGUCACGUUUUUAUUUGGAUUUUAAUUGAUAAAUUGUUAGAAUGUAAUCCAUAUGAUGCAUUUUCGUUGCAGUUAAAUUUCAAGUAUAUCGUAGCACAAAUACAUAUAAGUCCAGUUCCUGUUUAAAAUGUCGACGCAAAGGGCUAACAACAUGUGUACUCGAACAUUAUUGUCAAGUUUCUACAGCUGUGUGGAUAAUUUGACUAUACAUAUUGUGCGAAAUUCUACCCCUGAGAGGGUUACAGGUCGAGUCAUCCACGAUGACGCUCAGAUUUGUCAAAUCUAACCUUUCAUAACAUGAUAAUACGUUUUAAGGCACGCCUUCGUGAAUGGCACGAACUAUAAAAGGGGAUUGAAACUUUGUAGGUUUACGAGAUUAUUUUCUUUAAUAACAAGGCAUAUUUCAUAAAUUAUCAUCAAAAAAUAACGAUAUGAAUAUUUGUUUGCAACGAAACGCAUUGAUACGUUGACUAUAAUACAAUACUCUAUGGUAUCCCGUGAGCCUGUAGUAUGAAACCAGUGUUUGGCAGGAUCACUGCGAGUAAGUGGCCGUUUUACUGUUUAUUCAUUGUUAACAGGAAACUUCAUUAUAAAGACUGUAAAUCUCCAUGCAAAGCCGCGGUUUUUUCCAAUUCAAUUAUAAAGUAAAUCUACGUUUCGACAAAAUGUACUCACCCCAAAGGCGUGUAUGGGAGUUUUCAGAGAAUAGACAAUUAAGCAUGAUAUGAACUUUUUGCCUUUUUUUACAUUGGAAUAUCGCGUAUAGUUUAUGAAAUGAACACCACAACCAAUUUUAUCAGUAAUCAUCGUCACAAAAUAGACAGUGAUUAACUUUUACAGUACAUAUGGUGCUACUUUACCGCACUAGUGCGCAAAUUAGCAUAUUACGUUACUGUGUCAAACAUUUAAAGGUCCAUAAUAUGUACUGUAAAACGUUGUACGAUACAUGUGCGAAUAGAUAAUUCGCAACUCGUGUCGAUUUAAAACGCUCCCUUCGGUCGUGUUCGCCACUCGUUUCGAAUUUCCUAUUUUUCGCACUUGUAUCGCAAUGUACUAUUAUCAACUCACUCUAAUCGAGUCCACUAUUUUCUGAAGACUCCCGCAUACAUAAGGGAACGAAUGGAAAGAUUUGCGAGGUUCUGGCAGGCUUCAGUAGCUCAAUUGGUUAAUAGCAAGCGCGGAUUGCGGAAGUUUGCGCGUUCAAGUCCUGCUGGAGGCGUAACUUUUUACAUUUCUUCCUUUCAUAUAAAAUUUGGAAUAAAAUGGAACAUUUUGCGUACAAACGAGGUGGCACUACUCUAGCCACCCCAGCCCCACGCAGCCUAGCAAGGCUUUCAGGUUGAUAACUGCCUCUUUUAGUGUGCACGGAGUCCCGAGGUAUUUGCUCCUGUAUACUUACACAACAUGUUUCAGUUUAUAAACCGUAUGUUUGCAUGGAGAUAACGAGUUGAAUUGUUUCUGGUCGCUGAUAAGUGUACAGUGGUUUAAGUUAGUAUAUUUAUUUGUAUAAUACUCUGAAAGACUUCAGGAUGCCAUACAGCAGCCGCCGCCGGCGGACCCUCGUGGUUCAGGACCAAGUCCUAGCUUGCCUCGGCUUAUAAUGAUUACAGGCAGCGGAUGUAGAUGUGUCGCGCGAGACAGCGAGCUAUGGAGUCGACAUUAGCAAUAAAAUUCAACCCAUAUUCAUACUCAUUCAUUCGUUUAAUUAGUGAUUUUAAUUUAAUAAUCAAAGACAAGAACCUAGACGAGUUUAAACGAUCGGUUAGUUUUGUCUUUGGGUAUAUAAAUAAUAAAAGUGAAGGCCAUUUUUUGUUUUGAUUAUAUUACGAAAUUACAGAUAAAACAAUAUGUAUAUUAGAGUCGGACCAGGAUUAGUUGGCAGCGAUUUGAUAGCCCAGUAGUGCACGGGUUAUUUAAAACGUCAAAUUUCUAUGAAAUGUCAAGUGUCAAGUACUUGGUUUGACUCUAAAGGAGGAAAAAUAAUAUAUAUAUAAAUUAACCAAUGCAAAAAAUGGUAAUUAUUUUUAUUUGUAAUAUUGAUAUACUCAAAGACAAGAUUAAAGCAUCGUUUAUAAACUCGUCAACGUUCUUAUCUUUGAUUAUAGGUAAAAUUAAAAACACACUAAUUAAAUAAAUAGGGAGCGUGCAUGAACUGUAGGAGGCAGCACAGGCGCCGUCAGAUUUUUGGCGCGAGGCGUAUAUGUGAUGUUUAUUGUUCCGAUGUAGCCCACAAGAUGGCAGAACCUACUAUGCACAAGAAAACACGGGACGUGUAAAUGUACAUGUUUAUGGUUCCGAUUCAGGCCACAAGAUGGCAGAUCCUCCAACGCGCACGGUCCUUAUACAUGAGUAGAGUUGAAUUUUAUUACUAAUGUCGACUCCAUAACUCGUUAACAUCUUACCGUGUGAUAAAAACUCCCUAGAAUAAAACAUGUCACUUGUCGCAUAUUGCAUAGAAACAGUACCGACAUCUGUCUUCAACUACAGCCCGACGAGGAAUUUGUCGAUAUUGUUUUAGGGCGCCACUGAACUUCAAUAAGCAAAACAGAUACAAACAUACAUACAUCCAUCUCAUUCUGCCGCAUAAGUGCGUCCUUUACAUCGUUUUUUAACUUUUGACGUUUGCCGUUGACAUAUAUAACGGAUAUUUUCAAGUAUCCUCAAAACAUCAACGAAAGUUGGGAGAAAAAAAAUAUGUGAACGGUCUCUAUUGUUUCCCAAAAAUGUUUUAAGUCAUACAUGUCAUAAUGUAUUGUUUGUCCGCAUUUUCAGUACUCAUAAUUGCUUUUUUUCUCAGAAAUGCGUAAUUUUUUAGUGUUUCCAUAAAACAAACCUAACCUAUCUAUAGGAUAACCUUAGAAAAAACCUAAAAGUUUCAGAAUUAUGACAUGAUAAUCUGACAAUGAUUACAUUGUGACUUUCAAUAAUUAUUGCCCUUAACCGAAUGUAAUCGACUUUUUUCUGUUGCCAAGGCAAAAUAUGACUUAGUCCCGAACCAGUGUUAGUGGUGCUCGCAGCACUAGCGCGUCAAUAUUAUGUGUACAGUGCACCGCCCGGUGGAGGAAUGUAUACAUAUGUGCGACAUUGACUGUACCGGGUCACACACCACGUCUCUCUUUAUGAGGUGAUUUUUUGGACCCUUCACCUGUUAAACAAAAGGUAUUGUUUCUGUUGUUCAUCAGUUUACUACUGGUUUUUUGUUGUCUCUAAUAAAAUACUUAACAGACCGCACAGAAGCAGGUCGUUCUAUAUUACCCAAAUCUGCGAAUUAUAUGUAAAUAGGAUGAUAAUGAAAUCAUAUAUAAAUAGGAUGGUAAAUAUGGGUUUUCUCCUCAAACUUGCAAUGAAAUGUUGACAUGACUUUCUUCAAAUUAGGUCUGGAAAUACUACAUAUCAGGUGCGACGAGUGAAGAUGAUAUGUAAAGGAAUUUCAUACUGCCUUACACACCUAGGACUGUAAGAGGCAACCUUCUUUUAUUUUCAAGGGUCAAAUUAUGACACAACGUCUUUCGUAAUUUGUUUUUAGCUAUGUACCUAUAGAACAAAUUGACUACAAUUCUAUAUCUACUUAGCCAUCGUUUCCCGGCCUCUAUAGCAAUGUACUAUUUAAACGGGCUUGUUUUCGUUUUCUCAUGACAAUAAACAAUACAUUUUGUUCAAAAAAUCACUUCAGAAAACACCUAAUUCCAACUAGGGAAGAAAUGUGUCGCACGUCGUGUGGCCGGUGCCGGCCGUCGGGUGCGGGUGGUAAGCGGCGCGACGUUGCCGGCCCGCGCCCGACAGGUCUGGCAACAGCGCGCCACACGGCGCCGGCGUCGUGCGAUGUCCCCAGAUAUGUCAAGCGAAAUCACUCCGACUUGUCAAGCUGUUAACUUCGUGCUCAGGAGUGACAACUUUUGGUUUAUGAUCUGUGUGUGACCCAAAUAAUUUCCGUUUUCGAAAUUGGCGGUGUUAAGGAAGGCGUUGACUGUGAAUUGUUAAAUUGGUUUUCGUCAGAUUUUGACCAAUUUUCGAAAAACUGAGCACUUUAGAUCCUAGAUACUAAAAUGGCAUUAGAUGUGAUUUUUGGAAUACCCCGAUAUUUUAACCUCCUAAGGCCCAAGGGCCUACCUAUAGUACGAUGAAAUUUAAGUCGUAUUCAAUUGGGACAGAGUUGCAUUUCGUCGGGGAUAGUGCAAGACCGCGUAACUAACAAAUGCAGUAAGGUCCAAUUACCUUGUACAUUGUUUGAAUUUCGAACCCUUUCGACUUUGUUAGUUGCGCGGUAUUGCACUAUCCCCGGCGAUUUGCUUUGUUUCGUCGUCAACAACACAAGAUCAACUCUAGGUUGCAAUAUCAGUGGCACAUUUUGGAUGUUUCAUUCAUAAUAAAGUUACCUUCAGACUUUCAAGAUAUAAACGUACCUACUCCUGUCAACCCUUCUCCAGGCGCAGUACGAUUUAUCGACCACAUACGCGCGAAUAGAAUUUCAACUUUAGCAUUCGGGUUUAAGGUUUAAAUUUGAUUUCACUUUCGAGAAUGGCUUGUCCUCAAAUGAAUCACCAAAGUUUGAUUAAUUGGAAUAUAUUUGAUGUUUUUGGGAAAACCUCGUGGUUUUUUGCGGCCUGGAAAAGGGUUAAAGGCAGGCAAGGCACAUGCAGCCCCUCUAGUGUCGUUGAUGUCCAUGGUUUACGGUGUGAUUGCUGACCAUCAGGCGAUUAAUCUGAUGUAAACCUCGUAUAUCAUUAUAAAAAAUCAGAAACACUUUAAUUAAUACAUUUUAGUAUCUGCGAUGUAAAAACACAAACAGUUUAAAAUGUACGUUAGCUGGUGUCACGGUGUUAUGCAGUAACAAAUACAAAUGUAUAACGUCCAGAUCGGAAAUGCACCAAAAUGUAAACAAACAAAUGCUGUUCUGUGUCCGUAUGACGCACGGGGGUGUCCAUAUGACGCACAGGGUUGUCCAUAUGACGCACAGUGUCCACGUGACGCACAGAGGUGUCCAUAUGACGCACAGAGGUGUCCAUAUGACGCACAUGUGUGUCCACAUGACGCACAGGGACACGUCAAGAUCGCGUAGUCUCUUCUAAUCCCAAGAAACGAGCGUCAGAGGUCAACUCCAACUUGUCAGCAGAAAAAGGCGGCAAAUUGAAAAAUGUAGGCGCGCGUUGAUCUCCCAUAGAAAAUUUGAAAUUCACACCUUCUACUGACAAGUUGGGGCUGACCAAGUGUAUAAUGCUCCUCAAAAGGGACUCCCUUGUUUGUUUACAUUUUUGACUGCAUGAUAAUCAACAGGAAGUGGUCUGGCUCUAACUCGGUAUUUUCAAUUGAGUUAGGUAUUGUCUGAAUAAGUUCACACAUUUGACAGUAGUCCAUUGAAGUUUGUCGUGAUAGGCUGACAUGUAUCGUUUGUCAAAUCUAGCGAUACUAAUGAAUGACUAAACGAAUUAGUCGAAUCGAUUUUACAGUCGACUUUUGCAAGUAUGUAUUGUUUCGUUUGAAUUACUAAUUAAACUUUUUUUUCAAAUCGUAAUUCAUUUUAUUGUCAUUUUGUUUUAAAUUGUCGAUUUUUAUCAACUUACGGAAAUGUCAUAUGAAUCGAAACGACAGACUGAACCACAACACUGUUUAAAAAAAAUAACAGAUAUAAUAGGUAACUGUUUGCGUGAUAAAUUAUUAUCGUAAAAUAUUUAAUAACAAAGAUCUAAAAAGAUUAACAUGUUAUGUUUCAGUAAGCGAAAUAUUGUUCGGAAGUACUUGACAAACCCUAUAUUAUUUAUAAUUUCAAUGUGUCAUGCGCGUUUAUGUUGUACGGGCGUACAACAACAAUGGGUAUGAUGGGCGUUGUCAAAUGUGUGAACUUAGAUCUUUUCAACUCAACAGUUCUACUCGUGCAGCCGCGUAUCCAAUAAUAAUGUUAUAAGUAAGUUAGGUUUAACUUGUUAAUAAAAUAAAAUUUCAUUAUUA
Molecule: long non-coding RNA, 7452 nt
Organism: Cydia pomonella (codling moth)
Lineage: Eukaryota; Metazoa; Arthropoda; Insecta; Lepidoptera; Tortricidae
Exons: 2
Source: RefSeq, a predicted model, not a curated record